Homo sapiens (human) is the source of this 2284-nucleotide long non-coding RNA. The record is from Ensembl. Lineage: Eukaryota; Metazoa; Chordata; Mammalia; Primates; Hominidae.
AUCUCUAAUAUUCUUUGGUCUGAAAACUGGCAGCAGCUGGUGAUCCAGAGGUCUCAUGGCAGAAUGAAGGAAUUUACCAAAGCCAAGCCCUUUGACUCUGGGCCUAUCUAUUUCUUUGAUCAGUUGAAACCUGAACGGAAAGAUGGGAAAAGAUAACCUGUGAAGAAAGUUAUCCCACCCAAAAUGCACCUCAAGAGCUAAGUGUUGGAUCUUUCAACAUCCUUACUCAAAAUGGGAAAUUCUGAAGUGGAAGACAGUCCCCAGUAUAGCUGUGAAGAGACUACAAGUAGCCAUAAUUCAAAUCAAAAUAGAAGAAGCAAAGCAAAAAAAAGAGGGCGUCAACAAACAACUUAUCCGGCGCCGCUAUGAGGACCUGGAAGGCGUGGAGGAGAGCAGGGAUCAGCAGUGCUCACAGAGUUUCUGGCUGGAGCUGCUGGAGAAGAAGCCUCAGAUGCCAAUUGUCAAAAAGGCUGACCCCAACAUGAAAAAAUUCCAUUACGCUCUGGUGGAUGGCUCCUCUCUGACCUACUAUCCUUCUGGGCACCUAGCUGUCUGUCAGAGCUAUUCUGACCUCCCUUCAGGUGGUGUGUACACCAGCGUAUUCAGUGACUUGCCAAAUCCAGUUAUCCUUGGAACCUUUACACCUUUUGGAUGUGGCAGCAUUUCUUUUCCUAAGAGUCAUUCAACAGUUUCGAAAGACAGAUGAGCAAGCAUGAUGUAAUUUUACGGCAUUUUAAUUGAACAUCUUAUUCUGUGACACUACAGACAAGAUGGAAAAGUAAUCAUGACUUUCACGAAGAAAAAAUGGAUUUCACUUGAUAUUCCAGGGAUUGUUAAAGUUAGGUUCUUUUGACACUGUUUCUGACAAACAGUAGCAGUGAUGUUUAAUUAGGAAGGAGGCCUGGUGAUCAGCAGAAAAGGAAACAUCAUAAGGGAAUGGACCUGGCCUUCAAAAGGAAAACUUGAUAAUCCAGUGGAAAUUUGGGAUUAAUUCAAACACUUCUGAGCUGCCAGUCUGAAACUGUGUCCGGAAUUGGUGGAUUCUUGGUCUCACUGACUUCAAGAAUGAAGCCGCGGACCCUCGCAGUGAGUAAAUAGGUUCAUCACUGUGAAGAUUUCUGGACAUUCUGCCACCACCUUGGUCUACAAGUGGCAUUCCCAAAGCCUGAAGCUAUCUUUGGCACCUGUAAAACGCCAGCCUUUCCCUCCAUGCCUACCCAAAGUGGUGUUUCUAGGACUAUGGGCUUGUAACCUGCUGAGCUAGGUUUCACCUGCAGAUACAAAGAAGCUGGUUCACCUGCAGAUACAGAGAAACUGGGUGGAUGGGAGGGUAGAAUCACAGGGCUGGCAGGCAGUGCCACUGCCAUUGGGAGCUGAGUUAUGACUGUUAGCCAGUGGGCCCCAUUCUCCUUAUGAAGGCCUCUCCACAUAGCUGCUCGGGUUUCCCCACAACGUGGCAUCUGUUUGAAGAAGGAAGACUCCAAGAGGUGAAGAUGGAAACUAUACAUCUCUUAAUGCCUGGCCUCAAAAGUUACACAGUCUGCCAUUUUUCAAAGCCUGUCACAGGCCAGCCCAGAUUCAAUGGGAACAGAAAUAGCCUUCCAUCUCUUGAUGGGUAGAGUGGCAAAGAAUACACAGCCAUUUUCAAUCCACCAUAAGAACAUUUGAAGAAAAAGAUGAAAAUUUCAGAGUCAUUCGGAUUCCUUUCGGUUGCUCAAAUAUAACAUUGUAUCUGCUUCUAAAUUCAUGGGCAACAAUUGUCCUCUUCUGGUUCAAAGGCACAAUAUAAUCCCAGGAAUUUUUUUGCAAUCCAGGGGGUAGGUACUAAUUUUAUCCCUGAUAACAGAGGUGGAAACUGAGACACAGGUUAACUUAUCUAAGGUCAAGGAGCUCGCAUGUGGUGGGAUCAGAAUUCAAAUCCAGAUUUUCUCACUAUGAACAGAGACUGCUUUUAAUCAAAAUUCUGCAAGAGUUUCUACAAGGUGAAGUCUCAGCCCCCACUUCCUCGGACAUGCUCGUAAGAAGUGUAAAGUGUUCCCAGAUGAAUGCUUUCAGCUUGUUGAUGAGUUCCAGCUGGGGAGAAGAAAUAAUUCAACCGUACAUUUAGCAAGAAGGCACAGAGCCUACCUCAAUAUGCAAAGGAAUCCAGCUUGUUUCAAGUGUCAAGUGACAGUUUAGACAAGAGAAAAGGACUCAGUACAAAUGAGAUGGGACAGAGGUUGCAUCCCGUGCAUGUCUUCUGAGAUAUAUACAAAAUAGAGAAACAAAGACUAACUCAUCCACU